UACAGAGGGGGCUAGCGUUGUUCGGAAUUACUGGGCGUAAAGCGCGCGCAGGCGGCCCUUUAAGUCUACCCGUGAAAUGCCGGAGCUCAACUCCGUGCACGCCGGGGGAUACUGGGGGGCUGGAGACAUGUAGAGGCAAGCGGAAUUCCGGGUGUAGCGGUGGAAUGCGUAGAUAUCCGGAAGAACACCUGAGGCGAAGGCGGCUUGCUGGGCAUGAUCUGACGCUGAGGCGCGAAAGCGUGGGGAGCAAACAGG
RNAcentral lists this ribosomal RNA (255 nucleotides) under uncultured bacterium. RNAcentral describes it as "partial 16S ribosomal RNA". It matches the Rfam family "Bacterial small subunit ribosomal RNA", at positions 524 to 776 of the family's 1533-position model. The record is from RNAcentral.